UUUAAUGGAGAGUUUGAUCCUGGCUCAGGACGAACGCUGGCGGCGUGCCUAAUACAUGCAAGUCGAGCGAGGGUUUUCGAACCCUAGCGGCGGACGGGUGAGUAACACGUAGGCAACCUGCCUGUAAGACUGGGAUAACAUAGGGAAACUUAUGCUAAUA
RNAcentral lists this ribosomal RNA (160 nucleotides) under Brevibacillus halotolerans. RNAcentral describes it as "partial 16S ribosomal RNA". It matches the Rfam family "Bacterial small subunit ribosomal RNA", at positions 1 to 168 of the family's 1533-position model. Lineage: Bacteria; Bacillati; Bacillota; Bacilli; Caryophanales; Paenibacillaceae. The record is from RNAcentral.